UUAAGCGACUAAGCGUACACGGUGGAUGCCUUGGCAGUCAGAGGCGAUGAAGGACGUGCUAAUCUGCGAUAAGCGUCGGUGAGGUGAUAUGAACCGUUAUAACCGGCGAUUUCCGAAUGGGGAAACCCAGUGUGUUUCGACACACUAUCAUUAACUGAAUCCAUAGGUUAAUGAGGCGAACCGGGGGAACUGAAACAUCUAAGUACCCCGAGGAAAAGAAAUCAACCGAGAUUCCCCCAGUAGCGGCGAGCGAACGGGGAGGAGCCCAGAGCCUGAAUCAGUGUGUGUGUUAGUGGAAGCGUCUGGAAAGGCGUGCGAUACAGGGUGACAGCCCCGUACACAAAAAUGCACAUAUUGUGAGCUCGAUGAGUAGGGCGGGACACGUGGUAUCCUGUCUGAAUAUGGGGGGACCAUCCUCCAAGGCUAAAUACUCCUGACUGACCGAUAGUGAACCAGUACCGUGAGGGAAAGGCGAAAAGAACCCCGGCGAGGGGAGUGAAAAAGAACCUGAAACCGUGUACGUACAAGCAGUGGGAGCCUCUUAAUGGGGUGACUGCGUACCUUUUGUAUAAUGGGUCAGCGACUUAUAUUCUGUAGCAAGGUUAACCGAAUAGGGGAGCCGAAGGGAAACCGAGUCUUAACUGGGCGUUAAGUUGCAGGGUAUAGACCCGAAACCCGGUGAUCUAGCCAUGGGCAGGUUGAAGGUUGGGUAACACUAACUGGAGGACCGAACCGACUAAUGUUGAAAAAUUAGCGGAUGACUUGUGGCUGGGGGUGAAAGGCCAAUCAAACCGGGAGAUAGCUGGUUCUCCCCGAAAGCUAUUUAGGUAGCGCCUCGUGAAUUCAUCUCCGGGGGUAGAGCACUGUUUCGGCAAGGGGGUCAUCCCGACUUACCAACCCGAUGCAAACUGCGAAUACCGGAGAAUGUUAUCACGGGAGACACACGGCGGGUGCUAACGUCCGUCGUGAAGAGGGAAACAACCCAGACCGCCAGCUAAGGUCCCAAAGUCAUGGUUAAGUGGGAAACGAUGUGGGAAGGCCCAGACAGCCAGGAUGUUGGCUUAGAAGCAGCCAUCAUUUAAAGAAAGCGUAAUAGCUCACUGGUCGAGUCGGCCUGCGCGGAAGAUGUAACGGGGCUAAACCAUGCACCGAAGCUGCGGCAGCGACACUAUGUGUUGUUGGGUAGGGGAGCGUUCUGUAAGCCUGUGAAGGUGGCCUGUGAGGGUUGCUGGAGGUAUCAGAAGUGCGAAUGCUGACAUAAGUAACGAUAAAGCGGGUGAAAAGCCCGCUCGCCGGAAGACCAAGGGUUACUGUCCAACGUUAAUCGGGGCAGGGUGAGUCGACCCCUAAGGCGAGGCCGAAAGGCGUAGUCGAUGGGAAACAGGUUAAUAUUCCUGUACUUGGUGUUACUGCGAAGGGGGGACGGAGAAGGCUAUGUUGGCCGGGCGACGGUUGUCCCGGUUUAAGCGUGUAGGCUGGUUUUCCAGGCAAAUCCGGAAAACCAAGGCUGAGGCGUGAUGACGAGGCACUACGGUGCUGAAGCGACAAAUGCCCUGCUUCCAGGAAAAGCCUCUAAGCAUCAGGUAACAUCAAAUCGUACCCCAAACCGACACAGGUGGUCAGGUAGAGAAUACCAAGGCGCUUGAGAGAACUCGGGUGAAGGAACUAGGCAAAAUGGUGCCGUAACUUCGGGAGAAGGCACGCUGAUAUGUAGGUGAAGCGACUUGCUCGUGGAGCUGAAAUCAGUCGAAGAUACCAGCUGGCUGCAACUGUUUAUUAAAAACACAGCACUGUGCAAACACGAAAGUGGACGUAUACGGUGUGACGCCUGCCCGGUGCCGGAAGGUUAAUUGAUGGGGUUAGCGGCAACGCGAAGCUCUUGAUCGAAGCCCCGGUAAACGGCGGCCGUAACUAUAACGGUCCUAAGGUAGCGAAAUUCCUUGUCGGGUAAGUUCCGACCUGCACGAAUGGCGUAAUGAUGGCCAGGCUGUCUCCACCCGAGACUCAGUGAAAUUGAACUCGCUGUGAAGAUGCAGUGUACCCGCGGCAAGACGGAAAGACCCCGUGAACCUUUACUAUAGCUUGACACUGAACAUUGAGCCUUGAUGUGUAGGAUAGGUGGGAGGCUUUGAAGUGUGGACGCCAGUCUGCAUGGAGCCGACCUUGAAAUACCACCCUUUAAUGUUUGAUGUUCUAACGUUGGCCCGUAAUCCGGGUUGCGGACAGUGUCUGGUGGGUAGUUUGACUGGGGCGGUCUCCUCCUAAAGAGUAACGGAGGAGCACGAAGGUUGGCUAAUCCUGGUCGGACAUCAGGAGGUUAGUGCAAUGGCAUAAGCCAGCUUGACUGCGAGCGUGACGGCGCGAGCAGGUGCGAAAGCAGGUCAUAGUGAUCCGGUGGUUCUGAAUGGAAGGGCCAUCGCUCAACGGAUAAAAGGUACUCCGGGGAUAACAGGCUGAUACCGCCCAAGAGUUCAUAUCGACGGCGGUGUUUGGCACCUCGAUGUCGGCUCAUCACAUCCUGGGGCUGAAGUAGGUCCCAAGGGUAUGGCUGUUCGCCAUUUAAAGUGGUACGCGAGCUGGGUUUAGAACGUCGUGAGACAGUUCGGUCCCUAUCUGCCGUGGGCGCUGGAGAACUGAGGGGGGCUGCUCCUAGUACGAGAGGACCGGAGUGGACGCAUCACUGGUGUUCGGGUUGUCAUGCCAAUGGCACUGCCCGGUAGCUAAAUGCGGAAGAGAUAAGUGCUGAAAGCAUCUAAGCACGAAACUUGCCCCGAGAUGAGUUCUCCCUGACUCCUUGAGAGUCCUGAAGGAACGUUGAAGACGACGACGUUGAUAGGCCGGGUGUGUAAGCGCAGCGAUGCGUUGAGCUAACCGGUACUAAUGAACCGUGAGGCUUAACCUU
This 2902-nucleotide ribosomal RNA is filed under the name Escherichia coli UMEA 4207-1. Its description in RNAcentral is "bacterial LSU rRNA". It matches the Rfam family "Bacterial large subunit ribosomal RNA". Lineage: Bacteria; Pseudomonadati; Pseudomonadota; Gammaproteobacteria; Enterobacterales; Enterobacteriaceae. The record is from RNAcentral.